ACUGGUGGGUCUCAUUUCUUUUCUUGGUCACCUUUAUUUGUCUUUGAUGUUCAUCUCAUGGCUUCUCCUUUAGAAAAGUUGUCAGAGUUGGGGUCUGUUGAUCCAGAGUUCCCUAUCCCGACUCCCGCUAGUUCUACCAUGGAGGUGCUCGAGGUCUAUCAGACUCUUGGUAUGGUGAAGACAGUUUUGGAAGUUGAUGACCUCAAGUAAAUCCGAAGGGAAUAUGAGAUUCUGGACAGUGUGGUCCUAGAUGUGCCCAAUCUUUUGGAUAGGUUCACAUCCUAUCAAGGGAACUGGGUAGCCAUAUAUAAGGAGGCUCUGAGAGUUGGCUGCAAGCCCCACUUCCAGAUGUCUUUGCCGAAUUGCUCUGGUGGUAUUGGCUCUAUCCUCUCUAACUUGUCCCCAAUACUUGGUGGACAAUAGUUGGAUUUUUCUGGUUUCUUCUGCAUCAGAGGGUGUCUCUUCAAGCGAAAAUGUUUUGGAUGCUCUUUCAGAUGAAAGUACAUCCUCGAAGUAGGAGUUAGUGGUAUGCUUUCCCCUGGAAGGGCAUCACUAAUUUUCCUUCUGGUCUUUCCUGCAUCCAUG
Molecule: long non-coding RNA, 585 nt
Filed under: Elaeis guineensis (African oil palm)
Lineage: Eukaryota; Viridiplantae; Streptophyta; Magnoliopsida; Arecales; Arecaceae
Description: long non-coding RNA (EGUI_LNC063803)
Source: RNAcentral